This 1166-nucleotide long non-coding RNA is filed under the name Zonotrichia albicollis (white-throated sparrow). RNAcentral describes it as "lncRNA (ENSZALG00000002106.1)". The record is from RNAcentral. Lineage: Eukaryota; Metazoa; Chordata; Aves; Passeriformes; Passerellidae.
CCUUCUUGUGGUAUCACACAGUGUCACCCUCACGGUGUCACCCUCACGGUGUCAGUGUCACACCUGUCCCUGUGUCACCUCCAUAGUGUCAGUGUCAUGGUGUCAAUGUCACCCGUCCCUGCUGUGUCUCACCUGUCACUGUGUUAUCCCCAUGGUGUCACCAUCACGGUGUCACCCCCUCGGUGGCAGUGUCACACCUGUCCCUGUGUCACCCUCUCAGUGUCACCCUCACCGUGGCAGUGUCACAGGUCCCUGCUGUGUCACGCCUGUCACUGUGACACACAUACAGUGUGUCACCUCGUGUCACCUCUGCUGUGUCACCCUGACUGUGACAGUGUCACACACAGUGUCACACACAGUGUCCCCAUGUGCCCACAGGUUCCAGGAUGAUGGUGGCUAUGUGCUGUACCCACAGUGUCACACACACAGUGUCACACACACAAUGUCACACACAGGAUGUCGCACAUAGAAUAUCACAGUGUCACACUGUCACAUAGGAUGUCACAAACUGUCCCCACAGGUUCCUGGAUGCCAGUGGCUACGUGCUGUACCCGCAGUGUCACACACACAAUGUCACACACAGUGUCACAGUGUCACACACACACAAUGUCACACACAGUGACACACACAAUGUCACACACACACAGUGUCACACACAGUGUCACACCCAUUGUCACACUGUCCCCGCAGGUUCCAGGACGAUGGUGGCUAUGUGCUGUACCUGCAGUGUCACACACACAGUGUCACACACACACAAUGUCACGCACAGUGUCACACACCCAUUGUCACACUGUCCCCACAGGUUCCUGGAUGCCGGUGGCUAUGUGCUGUACCCGCAGUGUCACACACACUGUGUCACACACACACAGUGUCACACACACACAUUGUCACACACACACAAUGUCACACACAGUGUCACAAUGUCACACACAGUGUCACACACACAGUGUCACAGUGUCACACACAGUGUCACACCCAUUGUCACACCCAUUGUCACACUGUCCCCGCAGGUUCCUGGAUGCCGGUGGCUACGUGCUGUACCCACAGUGUCACACACACACAGUGUCACACACACACAGUGUCACACACACACAAUGUCACACUGUCCCCGCAGGUUCCUGGAUGCCGGUGGCUACGUGCUGUACCCGCAGAUCGGUGACCGCCUG